This 259-nucleotide ribosomal RNA is filed under the name uncultured Lactobacillus sp. Its description in RNAcentral is "partial 16S ribosomal RNA". It matches the Rfam family "Bacterial small subunit ribosomal RNA", at positions 279 to 525 of the family's 1533-position model. The record is from RNAcentral. Lineage: Bacteria; Bacillati; Bacillota; Bacilli; Lactobacillales; Lactobacillaceae.
AUGCAUAGCCGAGUUGAGAGACUGAUCGGCCACAUUGGGACUGAGACACGGCCCAAACUCCUACGGGAGGCAGCAGUAGGGAAUCUUCCACAAUGGACGCAAGUCUGAUGGAGCAACGCCGCGUGAGUGAAGAAGGUUUUCGGUAUCGUAAAGCUCUGUUGUUGGUGAAGAAGGAUAGAGGUAGUAACUGGCCUUUAUUUUGUACGGUAAUACAACCAGAAAGUCACGGGCUAACUACGUGCCAGCAGCCGCGGUAAAU